RNAcentral lists this transfer RNA (91 nucleotides) under Umbilicaria muhlenbergii. RNAcentral's name for it is "tRNA-Gln (TTG) (tRNA-Gln-TTG-1-1)". It matches the Rfam family "tRNA". From Rfam's summary of the family: Transfer RNA (tRNA) molecules are approximately 80 nucleotides in length. Lineage: Eukaryota; Fungi; Ascomycota; Lecanoromycetes; Umbilicariales; Umbilicariaceae. The record is from RNAcentral.
GGUUUUGUAGUGUAGUGGUUAUCACUCCGGAUUUUGAAUCCGGACGGGAAAUGCUGACUGUGUAAUAGCGGUUCGAACCCGGGCAAGACCU